Molecule: non-coding RNA, 100 nt
Organism: Apis mellifera (honey bee)
Lineage: Eukaryota; Metazoa; Arthropoda; Insecta; Hymenoptera; Apidae
Source: Rfam
GUCCAGUAUUCCUGGCUGUGGAAGCUGGCGAACGUCACCCAGUCCCCGUACAGUUACCUGUGGACCAAUACCAGCACCGCGCCUGAAUUAGUUGCGGGAC